GGUCAUUAGGCCAAAUUGGGUGACACGGCUGCUCCAAUGUGUAGAGGAGUCUGGGGAUGUGAGUAUUUUCACCUGAGCACAUUGCCAGUCAUUUCUUCUGGCAAGGGAGCAGAGAACCUAUACUGGGGAAGCAACCAGCAGUAUCUUCUGUGGGGUGAUUAUGUGAGAAAGGUUAGGCUUGAACAUAGCAGCAUGCAGCCUUUUUAGACUUAUUACUUUUCUUUGUGAGAGACAAAAAUAUUAAAGCAAUCCAUUUGAUUCUAAUUCUAACAGGAAGUAAAGAAUAAAUCAUCAGCCCCGGGCUAGUUUUCCUCAUAAAAUGGGGGGCACUUAGAGGGAUCCGCGUCCUCUAAACCUCUGUGUUCCAGCCCUUUUGGUCUUACCGACAGGGCCUCCUAUUUUUUAAAAUUAAAUUCCACCUUGCAAAAGUAGUUGGAAAAAUCCAAGCUCCGCAAGUUGCUAGGAGACCCGAGGGGCUUUAUUGGGUGAGCGGUCUGGGGCCUGCGUGGCUGAAUUUCUCUCUCCUGAUGACAGACAUGCCUGAAACGUGUUUAAUCCCCAAAGCUGUGUGGAGGUGGGCAGAGUUUCAGCUCUGAGCAGAGGGCGAUCCCCCCAUCACAGGCUGUGGCAAGUUCUCCCGAAGAGAAGCCACAGGCUGCCGAAGUACAGAAAAGGGUUUGCGACCUUCCUUCCAUCAGGCGGCGACCCUGCUAGAGCAGUCCCAUCUUCGAGAACCCUCUGCCCUCACCCUGUUAAGGCUUGCUCCCCGGGUUGCUGUUCUCAGACCAGCGAGCUCCUGGGGCAAAGGGUCUGUGCGAUGCAGCCUGUGGUCUCCGAGAUGAGCCGUGGAUGCCAGGAUGGAUCUGCUUUUCCUCCCGCCCCCCCCCCCCCCCCCGCCAUCUUUCUGCCCUGUCUCCCUGCCCUUCCCCGCUCAUUGCUGGAGUGAUAUCUUUGUUAGCUAAAUUGAGCACGUGCCAGAUGCCCUUCAUCUAAAUGAGCAAGUGCUUUCUGGGACGCGGCCUGAUGAAAGCAUAGCCGAGCAGAGCUCCGUGAGCGCGCCAAACCCGGGCUGCCGGAAAGGAAAACCGUGUUGUUUUAAGAGGACUGCGUGUUGCGUGUGCCGGCUCAUGGUCAGACACCAGGAAGAGGCAGAGUCGCGUAGCAGGAUCUUCAUUCCUGUGCAGCCCUCCCGGCCCGGCACCCUCCGGCUGCAGAUGAGAGAUGGCUCUGGGGAAAUUCCAUUCUGUAAUUCAUUUAAGCAGGAUAAACAGAGCUCCCGCUCUGGAAGAUUCGGCCCAGAGCACAAGGCGCUCGGCGUCUGCGUGGGGUCUCGGAUGUCCACGGGCACACAGGAGUCAGGCGACCUGAGAUGCAGCCGGCCCUGACACCAAAAAGCCAUCGGACCUGAGAAAUUCCUAGUCCUGGCUGGACCCCCACACGUGACGGACACCGGGACAGCAAUUGAUGAUGACACCCGCGUCCAGCCUAAUGCUCUCUGACAGGAGGGAGCACAGGUAAGGGCAGAUUUUCUGAGCUGGCAAUUCUCACUAGGUGGUCUACAUCAGAAUCACCUGGAAUGCGGCUUAAAUGCAGAUUCCCAGGCCUCGCCCCUAGAAACUCAGAUUCCCUUUGGAGCCCAAAAGUCUGCAUGUUGAACUUGCACUCCAAGGCCUUCUGCUGCAGGAGGAACAUGAACCACACCUUGAGAAACGCUCCCAGGGAAGCCAUUUGCCCACUAUCAGAAUUGUGCCCGCAGUUUGGGGUUCACCCGGCCUUUCCAGUGGUUUCUGUUAACAGCUGAGGGAGUCUUUAAUACACACGCUUUGGGGAGCCUCAAAGUCAUUAGAGAUGACCAAGCCCACAUUAUGCGUUGAGUCUGUAAACUGUUUGCAAUUAACAUAAGCGUAAUUAUCUAGAUCAGACUGCCAUUAAUAGAGUGCGUGGUCCUGGAAACACACCUAA
Herpailurus yagouaroundi (jaguarundi) is the source of this 1962-nucleotide long non-coding RNA. RefSeq lists it as uncharacterized. Lineage: Eukaryota; Metazoa; Chordata; Mammalia; Carnivora; Felidae. The record is from RefSeq and is a predicted model, not a curated record. The transcript has 2 exons.